GCGAGUCUGAAUAGGGCGUUUAGUAUUUGGUCGUAGACCCGAAACCAGGUGAUCUACCCUUGGUCAGGUUGAAGUUCAGGUAACACUGAAUGGAGGACCGAACCGACUUACGUUGAAAAGUGAGCGGAUGAACUGAGGGUAGCGGAGAAAUUCCAAUCGAACCUGGAGAUAGCUGGUUCUCUCCGAAAUAGCUUUAGGGCUAGCCUCAAGUGAUGAUUAUUGGAGGUAGAGCACUGUUUGGACGAGGGGCCCCUCUCGGGUUACCGAAUUC
This 271-nucleotide ribosomal RNA is filed under the name Staphylococcus aureus. RNAcentral's name for it is "partial 23S ribosomal RNA". It matches the Rfam family "Bacterial large subunit ribosomal RNA", at positions 677 to 946 of the family's 2925-position model. Lineage: Bacteria; Bacillati; Bacillota; Bacilli; Caryophanales; Staphylococcaceae. The record is from RNAcentral.